RNAcentral lists this ribosomal RNA (253 nucleotides) under uncultured bacterium. RNAcentral's name for it is "partial 16S ribosomal RNA". It matches the Rfam family "Bacterial small subunit ribosomal RNA", at positions 524 to 776 of the family's 1533-position model. The record is from RNAcentral.
UACGUAGGGGGCAAGCGUUGUCCGGAUUUAUUGGGCGUAAAGAGCGCGUAGGCGGCCAGACAGGUCCGUUGUGAAAACUCGAGGCUCAACCUCGAGAUGUCGAUGGAAACCGUUUGGCUAGAGUCCGGAAGAGGAGUGUGGAAUUCCUGGUGUAGCGGCGAAAUGCGCAGAUAUCAGGAAGAACACCUAUGGCGAAGGCAGCACUCUGGGACGGUACUGACGCUGAGACGCGAAAGCGUGGGGAGCGAACAGG